GCAAGUAUAGCACAAUGGUUAGUACGUUAGCCUUCCAAGCUAGGGAUGAGAGUUCGAUUCUCUUUAUUUGCU
RNAcentral lists this transfer RNA (72 nucleotides) under Caudoviricetes sp. Its description in RNAcentral is "tRNA-Gly". It matches the Rfam family "tRNA". Rfam says of the family: Transfer RNA (tRNA) molecules are approximately 80 nucleotides in length. Their secondary structure includes four short double-helical elements and three loops (D, anti-codon, and T loops). Further hydrogen bonds mediate the characteristic L-shaped molecular structure. tRNAs have two regions of fundamental functional importance: the anti-codon, which is responsible for specific mRNA codon recognition, and the 3' end, to which the tRNAs corresponding amino acid is attached (by aminoacyl-tRNA synthetases). tRNAs cope with the degeneracy of the genetic code in two manners: having more than one tRNA (with a specific anti-codon) for a particular amino acid; and 'wobble' base-pairing, i.e. permitting non-standard base-pairing at the 3rd anti-codon position. Lineage: Duplodnaviria; Heunggongvirae; Uroviricota; Caudoviricetes. The record is from RNAcentral.